This 305-nucleotide ribosomal RNA is filed under the name uncultured bacterium. RNAcentral's name for it is "bacterial SSU rRNA". It matches the Rfam family "Bacterial small subunit ribosomal RNA", at positions 335 to 638 of the family's 1533-position model. The record is from RNAcentral.
AGUCCUACGGGAGGCAGCAGUGAGGAAUAUUGGUCAAUGGCCGCAGGGCUGAACCAGCCAAGUCGCGUGAGGGAUGACGGUCCUAUGGAUUGUAAACCUCUUUUGUCAGGGAGCAAAGGGCGCCACGUGUGGCGUUUUGCGAGUACCUGAAGAAAAAGCAUCGGCUAACUCCGUGCCAGCAGCCGCGGUAAUACGGAGGAUGCGAGCGUUAUCCGGAUUUAUUGGGUUUAAAGGGUGCGCAGGCGGAAUGUCAAGUCAGCGGUAAAAUUUCGGAGCUCAACCUCUUCGAGCCGUUGAAACUGGUU